RNAcentral lists this small RNA (1550 nucleotides) under Pongo abelii (Sumatran orangutan). RNAcentral's name for it is "retained intron". The record is from RNAcentral. Lineage: Eukaryota; Metazoa; Chordata; Mammalia; Primates; Hominidae.
CGUCCAGUUGCUUGGAGAAGCCCGUUCACCGCCUCCAGCUGCUGCUCGCCUCGACAUGGACCCUGAGACCUGCCCCUGCCCUUCUGGUGAGCCCCCGCCCCUGUUCCCAUCCUGCGGCACUGCGCGCCCUUGUACCUGCAAAGAAACCCACGCCCUGCGCCUUCGCUCAAGGACACUUGGGGGAAGGGCUCCUGAUUCCCUAUUCUUCACCUCAUGAAGGGCGGACAUGCCUGUGUCGCGGAGAACAGGGAUACUUGGCGCCCUAUCUCCUCGUGACAGGCGUGGGGACCCGAGUUUGUCCACAUUAACCCUUCCUGUGGCGUCGCCCUCUCUAGGUGGCUCCUGCACCUGCGCGGACUCCUGCAAGUGCGAGGGAUGCAAAUGCACCUCCUGCAAGAAGAGUGAGUGCGGGGACCCUUCCUGUCUGCCGCCCUCCCCUCUGCUCUGCGGAGUCGGUGUCUCACCACGCAGGAUGUGGAGAGACAGCCAGGCCCUGAUCCCGUGGUUUCUGACUCUUGCUGGAACAGAACCACCCGGGCAGACAUUAAAAUACAGAUGCCCCUGCCCCACACCCAGGAAUUGAUGGCCUAGGCGUGGGACGAGAGGUUUUUGUAAAUCCCCAGAAGACUCCAAUGGCAGCUGGGAUUGAGGACUGCCACACUGGUCCAACAUUUCCCGCCCCACCCCUCAAAACCCCCAAAACCUGGGGAAGCCAUUAGUGAAGCUGGGGCUCAGCUCUGGAGUUACGGUCCCUUGGCCUCUCUCAGGCCUUACAAAUCCUCUCAGUUUGAUCUCAAAAUCUCCCCAGCUCACGGCAGUGUAAUAUGCAUGGGGAGUAAGAGGUGGGAAGAAGGCUCCCUUCUUCCCUAGGUAUAAAACCAGACACAGGUCCCCACCGCCUCCCCACGGCUUUCCUGGGCCCCUUACAUUUGCACCAUAUCUGCCCCUCCCAAGUUUAUCCUUUGAGGCCCCUUUCAAGGUCGUUUACCCUGUGAUGCUUCCUCCUUAAGGCCUAGUACCCACCUAACCUGGGCUUAAGCCCACCAGCCCCCAGGACUUCCUGGCAUCCAUCCAAGGGGCUCUGGUCUAUUUCCUGGGUACCGCGCUCCUGUGGUGGUGCAGGAUGCCACUGACGCGACAUAGAUGCUGAGUCAAAGCAGGUGUGAGACUAAGAAGGGGGCUGCGACCAGCCCUGGCUGAAUGAACCAGGAUGACUUUCCACCCAGCACCCUUCCCUCCCCUUUGAUGGGGACGGACUGGGGGAGUGUGCAUCAGAGACAGGUCAUCUUCCAUUUUAUCUGCAGGCUGCUGCUCCUGCUGCCCUGCGGAGUGUGAGAAGUGUGCCAAGGACUGUGUGUGCAAAGGUGGAGAGGGGGCUGAGGCAGAGGCAGAGAAGUGCAGCUGCUGCCAGUGAGAAAGCACCCCUCCGUGUGGAGCACGUGGAGACAGUGCCAGGUGGCUCAGUGCCACCUAUGCCUGUGGUGAGGUGUGGCUCGUGUCCCCUUCCCCUGCUGACCUUGAGGGAGUGACAAUAAAUCCCAUGAACAGCA